UGGGGAAUAUUGCACAAUGGGGGGAACCCUGAUGCAGCGACGCCGCGUGAGUGAAGAAGUAUUUCGGUAUGUAAAGCUCUAUCAGCAGGGAAGAAAAUGACGGUACCUGACUAAGAAGCCCCGGCUAACUACGUGCCAGCAGCCGCGGUAAUACGUAGGGGGCAAGCGUUAUCCGGAUUUACUGGGUGUAAAGGGAGCGUAGACGGCAGAGCAAGUCUGAAGUGAAAGCCCACGGCCCAACUGCGGGACUGCUUUGGAAACUGCCCGGUUAGAGUGCUGGAGAGGUAAGCGGAAUUCCUAGUGUAGCGGUGAAAUGCGUAGAUAUUAGGAGGAACACCAGUGGCGAAGGCGGCUUACUGGACAGUAACUGACGUUGAGGCUCGAAAGCGUGGGGAGCAAACAGG
RNAcentral lists this ribosomal RNA (404 nucleotides) under uncultured bacterium. RNAcentral's name for it is "bacterial SSU rRNA". It matches the Rfam family "Bacterial small subunit ribosomal RNA", at positions 355 to 776 of the family's 1533-position model. The record is from RNAcentral.